GGGCAACCCUGAUCCAGCCAUGCCGCGUGAGUGAAGAAGGCCUUCGGGUUGUAAAGCUCUUUCGGCCGGGAAAAAAUCGCAUAGGUUAAUACCCUGUGUGGAUGAUGGUACCGGAAUAAGAAGCACCGGCUAACUACGUGCCAGCAGCCGCGGUAAUACGUAGGGUGCGAGCGUUAAUCGGAAUUACUGGGCGUAAAGCGUGCGCAGGCGGUUUGAUAAGACAGGCGUGAAAUCCCCGGGCUCAACCUGGGAACUGCGUUUGUGACUGUCUCACUAGAGUACGGCAGAGGGGGGUGGAAUUCCACGUGUAGCAGUGAAAUGCGUAGAGAUGUGGAGGAACACCAAUGGCGAAGGCAGCCCCCUGGGUCGAUACUGACGCUCAUGCACGAAAGCGUGGGUAGCAAACAGGAUUAGAUACCCUGGUAGUCCACGCCCUAAACGAUGUCAACUAGGUGUUGGGAGGGUAAAACCUUUUAGUACCGUAGCUAACGCGAGAAGUGACCG
RNAcentral lists this ribosomal RNA (504 nucleotides) under uncultured bacterium. Its description in RNAcentral is "bacterial SSU rRNA". It matches the Rfam family "Bacterial small subunit ribosomal RNA", at positions 375 to 871 of the family's 1533-position model. The record is from RNAcentral.